This 440-nucleotide ribosomal RNA is filed under the name uncultured bacterium. Its description in RNAcentral is "partial 16S ribosomal RNA". It matches the Rfam family "Bacterial small subunit ribosomal RNA", at positions 338 to 795 of the family's 1533-position model. The record is from RNAcentral.
CCUACGGGUGGCAGCAGUAGGGAAUAUUGCUCAAUGGGGGAAACCCUGAAGCAGCAACGCAGCGUGGAGGAUGAAGGUUUUCGGAUUGUAAACUCCUUUUGUUAGAGAAGAUACUGACGGUAUCUAACGAAUAAGCACCGGCUAACUCCGUGCCAGCAGCCGCGGUAAUACGGAGGGAGCAAGCGUUACUCGGAAUUACUGGGCGUAAAGAGCGCGUAGGCGGGAUAGCAAGUCAGAUGUGAAAGCCUAGGGCUUAACCAGAGAACUGCAUUUGAAACUGUUAUUCUUGAGUAUAGGAGAGGUAGGUGGAAUUCUUGGUGUAGGGGUAAAAUGCGUAGAGAUCAAGAGGAAUACUCAUUGCGAAGGCGACCUGCUGGAACGUAACUGACGCUGAUGCGCGAAAGCGUGGGGAGCAAACAGGAUUAGAUACCCUUGUAGUC